Molecule: ribosomal RNA, 253 nt
Filed under: uncultured bacterium
Lineage: Bacteria
Description: partial 16S ribosomal RNA
Rfam family: Bacterial small subunit ribosomal RNA
Source: RNAcentral
UACGUAGGUGGCAAGCGUUGUCCGGAUUUACUGGGCGUAAAGAGCGCGCAGGCGGUCGUUCAAGUCGCGUGUGAAAGCCCCCGGCUCAACUGGGGAGGGUCACGCGAUACUGAUCGACUCGAAGGCAGGAGAGGGAAGUGGAAUUCCCGGUGUAGUGGUGAAAUGCGUAGAUAUCGGGAGGAAUACCGAUGGCGAAGGCAGGUCUCUGGGUCGAUACUGACGCUCAUGCACGAAAGCGUGGGGAGCAAACAGG